UGUGCAGAGGGGAGUAGCAGGUUAUGCGUCUCCGUGAGAGACUAUUACUGUUACAUGCUGCAAAUACGGCCUGCGAUCUUCAAUCCCAUACUAUGUGGAGCAUGCCUGCUCCAGCAAUGGGGGGUCGACAUGUACAUCAAGAUUGAGAGUUGUCGAUUGAGGUGGUACAGGAGGAACAAGAUGCAGAUUCGUGCCGAUUUGUAUAAAGGAGUUGUUGAUGCGAUCACAUCGGGGAAGACGUGAGCAAACGUUGUUGGUGUAAGAAUAGUGCUCCCUAGAACAUACCCUGGUGGGGACCGCAACAUGAAGAAGAGGCAUAUGGAUGCCAUGGCAAUUGUCCAUACAUACGAAAAGCCUGACAUCUUCUUGACCAUGACUUGCAACCCUAAAUGGGAAGAGAUAACGAAUGAGUUGCUUCCUGGUCAGACCUGA
Molecule: ribosomal RNA, 432 nt
Filed under: Triticum aestivum (bread wheat)
Lineage: Eukaryota; Viridiplantae; Streptophyta; Magnoliopsida; Poales; Poaceae
Description: partial small subunit ribosomal RNA
Source: RNAcentral